This 85-nucleotide transfer RNA is filed under the name Dulcicalothrix desertica PCC 7102. RNAcentral's name for it is "Calothrix desertica PCC 7102 tRNA-Ser". Lineage: Bacteria; Bacillati; Cyanobacteriota; Cyanophyceae; Nostocales; Calotrichaceae. RNAcentral also lists the same sequence under 2 other names. The record is from RNAcentral.
GGAAGUUGUCCGGCACGGACGAGGACACCGUUUUGAACACGGCUGCGGUUUAUACCGUCGAGAGUUCGAUUCUCUCAACUUCCGC